This 555-nucleotide ribosomal RNA is filed under the name uncultured archaeon. Its description in RNAcentral is "bacterial SSU rRNA". It matches the Rfam family "Archaeal small subunit ribosomal RNA", at positions 325 to 879 of the family's 1478-position model. The record is from RNAcentral.
ACGGGGCGCAGCAGGCGCGAAACCUUUACACUGCACGAACGUGCGAUAAGGGGACUCCAAGUGCGAGGGCAUACAGUCCUCGCUUUUUCCUACCGUAAGGAGGUAGGCGAAUAAGAGCUGGGCAAGACCGGUGCCAGCCGCCGCGGUAAUACCGGCAGCUCGAGUGAUGGCCACUAUUAUUGGGCCUAAAGCGUCCGUAGCUGGCCGAACAGGUCCGUCGGGAAAUCCGCUCGCUCAACGAGCGGACGUCCGGCGGAAACCAGUCGGCUUGGGACCGGAGGACCCGAGGGGUACGUCCGGGGUAGGAGUGAAAUCCUGUAAUCCUGGACGGACCACCGGUGGCGAAAGCGCCUCGGGAGGACGGAUCCGACAGUGAGGGACGAAAGCUUGGGUCACGAACCGGAUUAGAUACCCGGGUAGUCCAAGCUGUAAACGAUGCUCGCUAGGUGUGGCACUGGCUACGAGCCAGUGCUGUGCCGUAGGGAAGCCGAGAAGCGAGCCGCCUGGGAAGUACGUCCGCAAGGAUGAAACUUAAAGGAAUUGGCGGGGGAGCAC